GUAGGUGGCAAGCGUUGUCCGGAAUUAUUGGGCGUAAAGCGCGCGCAGGUGGUUCUUUAAGUCUGAUGUGACAGCCCCCGGCUCAACCGGGGAGGGUCAUUGGAAACUGGGGAACUUGAGUGCAGGAGAGGAAAGUGGAAUUCCACGUGUAGCGGUGAAAUGCGUAGAUAUGUGGAGGAACACCAGUGGCGAAGGCGACUUUCUGGCCUGUAACUGACACUGAGGCGCGAAAGCGUGGGGAGCAAACAGGGAUUAGAUACCCUGGUAGUCCACGCCGUAAACGAUGAGUGCUAAGUGUUGGGGGGGUUUCCGCCCCCUCAGUGCUGCAGCUAACGCAUUAAGCACUCCGCCUGGGAGUACGGUCGCAAGACUG
This 373-nucleotide ribosomal RNA is filed under the name uncultured organism. RNAcentral's name for it is "partial 16S ribosomal RNA". It matches the Rfam family "Bacterial small subunit ribosomal RNA", at positions 527 to 896 of the family's 1533-position model. The record is from RNAcentral.